UCAUUUUUUCGUUUUUCUUCAUCUUUUUUCUCUCUCAAAUUGAAAAAGAGCCACCACCAUCUUCUUUUAUUUAUUGUUCUUCAACCGCCACAACUAACCCUUCCACCACCAGCAAGUGACCUCCUAUACACCUUAAACGUCGCCCUCUCACUCCUCCUCUCUUCCGCUCCCGUGAUCAUCGUUGAAAAUCACCGUGGAUCUUCUCCUCCCCCG
Molecule: long non-coding RNA, 213 nt
Filed under: Gossypium raimondii (Peruvian cotton)
Lineage: Eukaryota; Viridiplantae; Streptophyta; Magnoliopsida; Malvales; Malvaceae
Description: long non-coding RNA (GRAI_LNC007393)
Source: RNAcentral